CAUGCAAGUCGACGGUGAAGCAGAGCUUGCUCUGUGGAUCAGUGGCGAACGGGUGAGUAACACGUGAGCAACCUGCCCCGGACUCUGGGAUAACAGUUGGAAACAGCUGCUAAUACCGGAUACGAGCUGCGAAGGCAUCUUCAGCAGUUGGAAAGAAUUUCGGUCUGGGAUGGGCUCGCGGCCUAUCAGCUUGUUGGUGAGGUAAUGGCUCACCAAGGCGUCGACGGGUAGCCGGCCUGAGAGGGUGACCGGCCACACUGGGACUGAGACACGGCCCAGACUCCUACGGGAGGCAGCAGUGGGGAAUAUUGCACAAUGGGCGAAAGCCUGAUGCAGCAACGCCGCGUGAGGGAUGACGGCCUUCGGGUUGUAAACCUCUUUUAGCAGGGAAGAAGCGAAAGUGACGGUACCUGCAGAAAAAGCGCCGGCUAACUACGUGCCAGCAGCCGCGGUAAUACGUAGGGCGCAAGCGUUAUCCGGAAUUAUUGGGCGUAAAGAGCUCGUAGGCGGUUUGUCGCGUCUGCUGUGAAAUCCCGAGGCUCAACCUCGGGCCUGCAGUGGGUACGGGCAGACUAGAGUGCGGUAGGGGAGAUUGGAAUUCCUGGUGUAGCGGUGGAAUGCGCAGAUAUCAGGAGGAACACCGAUGGCGAAGGCAGAUCUCUGGGCCGUAACUGACGCUGAGGAGCGAAAGGGUGGGGAGCAAACAGGCUUAGAUACCCUGGUAGUCCACCCCGUAAACGUUGGGAACUAGUUGUGGGGUCCAUUCCACGGAUUCCGUGACGCAGCUAACGCAUUAAGUUCCCCGCCUGGGGAGUACGGCCGCAAGGCUAAAACUCAAAGGAAUUGACGGGGACCCGCACAAGCGGCGGAGCAUGCGGAUUAAUUCGAUGCAACGCGAAGAACCUUACCAAGGCUUGACAUAUAGAGGAAACGGCUGGAAACAGUCGCCCCGCAAGGUCUCUAUACAGGUGGUGCAUGGUUGUCGUCAGCUCGUGUCGUGAGAUGUUGGGUUAAGUCCCGCAACGAGCGCAACCCUCGUUCUAUGUUGCCAGCACGUAAUGGUGGGAACUCAUGGGAUACUGCCGGGGUCAACUCGGAGGAAGGUGGGGAUGACGUCAAAUCAUCAUGCCCCUUAUGUCUUGGGCUUCACGCAUGCUACAAUGGCCGGUACAAAGGGCUGCAAUACCGUGAGGUGGAGCGAAUCCCAAAAAGCCGGUCCCAGUUCGGAUUGAGGUCUGCAACUCGACCUCAUGAAGUCGGAGUCGCUAGUAAUCGCAGAUCAGCAACGCUGCGGUGAAUACGUUCCCGGGUCUUGUACACACCGCCCGUCAAGUCAUGAAAGUCGGUAACACCUGAAGCCGGUGGCCCAACCCUUGUGGAGGGAGCCGUCGAA
Molecule: ribosomal RNA, 1393 nt
Filed under: Microbacterium ginsengisoli
Lineage: Bacteria; Bacillati; Actinomycetota; Actinomycetes; Micrococcales; Microbacteriaceae
Description: 16S ribosomal RNA
Rfam family: Bacterial small subunit ribosomal RNA
Source: RNAcentral